CCAAGUUUUUAAGGGCGCACGGUGGAUGCCUUGGCACCAGGAACCGAUGAAGGACGUGGGAGGCCACGAUAGGCCCCGGGGAGCUGUCAACCAAGCUGUGAUCCGGGGGUGUCCGAAUGGGGAAACCCGGCAGUCGUCAUGGGCUGUCACCCGCACCUGAAUGUAUAGGGUGUGUGGAGGGAACGCGGGGAAGUGAAACAUCUCAGUACCCGCAGGAAGAGAAAACAACAGUGAUUCCGGGAGUAGUGGCGAGCGAAACUGGAUGAGGCUAAACCGUAUGUGUGUGAUACCCGGCAGGGGUUGCGCAUACGGGGUCGUGGGAGUUUCCUUCAGUCGUCUGCCGGCGGCUGGGCGAGUAAGAAACCAUUGUGGUAGGCGAAGGGCAUGCGAAAGGCCCGGCGUAGAGGGUAAGACCCCCGUAGCUGAAACUGCAAUGGCUCGUUUGGGAGCCACCCAAGUAGCACAGGGCCCGAGAAAUCCUGUGUGAAUCUGGCGGGACCACCCGUUAAGCCUAAAUAUUCCCUGGUGACCGAUAGCGGAUAGUACCGUGAGGGAAUGGUGAAAAGUACCGCGGGAGCGGAGUGAAAUAGUACCUGAAACCGUGUGCCUACAAGCCGUGGGAGCGUCGCAUGCAGGGCUUGUCUCUGUAUGUCGUGACUGCGUGCCUUUUGAAGAAUGAGCCUGCGAGUUUGCGGUGUGUUGCGAGGUUAACCCGUGUGGGGGAGCCGUAGCGAAAGCGAGUCCGAAUAGGGCGUUCAGUAGCAUGCUCAAGACCCGAAGCGGAGUGAUCUAGCCAUGGGCAGGGUGAAGCGGCUGUAAGAGGUCGUGGAGGCCCGAACCCACCAGAGUUGAAAAUCUGGGGGAUGACCUGUGGUUAGGGGUGAAAGGCCAAUCAAACUCCGUGAUAGCUGGUUCUCCCCGAAAUGCAUUUAGGUGCAGCGUCGUGUGUUUCUUGCCGGAGGUAGAGCACUGGAUAGGCGAUGGGCCUUACCGGGUUACUGACCUUAGCCAAACUCCGAAUGCCGGUAAGUGAGAGCACGGCAGUGAGACUGUGGGGGAUAAGCUCCAUGGUCGAGAGGGAAACAGCCCAGAGCAUCGACUAAGGCCCCUAAGCGUGUGCUAAGUGGGAAAGGAUGUGGAGUCGCAGAGACAACCAGGAGGUUGGCUUAGAAGCAGCCACCCUUGAAAGAGUGCGUAAUAGCUCACUGGUCUAGUGAUUCUGCGCCGACAAUGUAGCGGGGCUCAAGUACACCGCCGAAGUCGUGUCAUUCGAGCAUAUACCUCUAACGGGGGUUCGGAUGGGUAGGGGAGCGUCGUGUGCCGGGUGAAGCAGCCGUGGAAACGAGUUGUGGACGGUUCACGAGUGAGAAUGCAGGCAUGAGUAGCGAUACACACGUGAGAAACGUGUGCGCCGAUUGACUAAGGGUUCCUGGGUCAAGCUGAUCUGCCCAGGGUAAGUCGGGACCUAAGGCGAGGCCGACAGGCGUAGUCGAUGGACAACCGGUUGAUAUUCCGGUACCCGCUUUGAAGCGCCAACGCUGAAUCUGGUGAUGCUAAGCCCGUGAAGCCCCCUGCAUUUUGUCUUUGACAGGUGUGGGUGUGGUGGAGCCGGUGACCCGAGCUGGUAGUAGGUGAGUGAUGGGGUGACGCAGGAAGGUAGUCCAUCCCGGGCGGUGGUUGUCCCGGGGUAAGGGUGUAGGACGAGAGGUAGGUAAAUCCGUCUCUCAUGUGUCUGAGACCUGAUGCCGAGCCGAUUGUGGUGAAGUGGAUGAUCCUAUGCUGUCGAGAAAAGCCUCUAGCGAUGUUUCAUGGCGGCCCGUACCCUAAACCGACUCAGGUAGUCAGGUAGAGAAUACCGAGGCGUUCGGGUGAACUAUGGUUAAGGAACUCGGCAAAAUGCCCCCGUAACUUCGGGAGAAGGGGGGCCAUGUUCGGUGAUAGGCCUUGCGCCUUGAGCUGGGUGUGGCCGCAGAGACCAGCGAGAAGCGACUGUUUACUAAAAACACAGGUCCGUGCGAAGCCGUAAGGCGAUGUAUACGGACUGACGCCUGCCCGGUGCUGGAACGUUAAGGGGACCGGUUAGUCAGGAUUCGUUCUGGCGAAGCUGAGAACUUAAGCGCCAGUAAACGGCGGUGGUAACUAUAACCAUCCUAAGGUAGCGAAAUUCCUUGUCGGGUAAGUUCCGACCUGCACGAAUGGCGUAACGACUUCUUGACUGUCUCAACCAUAGGCCCGGUGAAAUUGCAUUACGAGUAAAGAUGCUCGUUUCGCGCAGCAGGACGGAAAGACCCCGGGACCUUUACUAUAGCUUGAUAUUGGUGUUCGGUUCGGCUUGUGUAGGAUAGGUGGGAGACUGUGAAGCAUGCACGCCAGUGUGUGUGGAGUCGUUGUUGAAAUACCACUCUGGUCGUGCUGGAUGUCUAACCUGGGUCCGUGAUCCGGAUCAGGGACAGUGUCUGGUGGGUAGUUUAACUGGGGCGGUUGCCUCCUAAAGAGUAACGGAGGCGCCCAAAGGUUCCCUCAGCCUGGUUGGUAAUCAGGUGUUGAGUGUAAGUGCACAAGGGAGCUUGACUGUGAGACUGACGGGUCGAGCAGGGACGAAAGUCGGGACUAGUGAUCCGGCGGUGGCUUGUGGAAGCGCCGUCGCUCAACGGAUAAAAGGUACCCCGGGGAUAACAGGCUGAUCUUCCCCAAGAGUCCGUAUCGACGGGAUGGUUUGGCACCUCGAUGUCGGCUCGUCGCAUCCUGGGGCUGGAGUCGGUCCCAAGGGUUGGGCUGUUCGCCCAUUAAAGCGGCACGCGAGCUGGGUUUAGAACGUCGUGAGACAGUUCGGUCCCUAUCCGCUGCGCGCGCAGGAGUCUUGAGAAGGGCUGUCCCUAGUACGAGAGGACCGGGACGGACGAACCUCUGGUGUGCCAGUUGUUCUGCCAAGGGCAUGGCUGGUUGGCUACGUUCGGGAAGGAUAACCGCUGAAAGCAUCUAAGCGGGAAGCCUGCUUCGAGAUGAGGACUCCCUCCCACUUGAUGGGGUAAGGCCCCCUGUAGACGACGGGGUUGAUAGGCCAGAUAUGGAAGCCCAGUAAUGGGUGGAGUUGACUGGUACUAAUAGGCCGAGGGCUUGUCCA
RNAcentral lists this ribosomal RNA (3124 nucleotides) under Streptomyces sp. SM12. RNAcentral's name for it is "bacterial LSU rRNA". It matches the Rfam family "Bacterial large subunit ribosomal RNA". RNAcentral also lists the same sequence under 1 other name. The record is from RNAcentral. Lineage: Bacteria; Bacillati; Actinomycetota; Actinomycetes; Kitasatosporales; Streptomycetaceae.